This 85-nucleotide transfer RNA is filed under the name Neptunomonas marina. RNAcentral describes it as "Neptunomonas sp. HPM-16 tRNA-Leu". It matches the Rfam family "tRNA". From Rfam's summary of the family: Transfer RNA (tRNA) molecules are approximately 80 nucleotides in length. Their secondary structure includes four short double-helical elements and three loops (D, anti-codon, and T loops). Lineage: Bacteria; Pseudomonadati; Pseudomonadota; Gammaproteobacteria; Oceanospirillales; Oceanospirillaceae. The record is from RNAcentral.
GCGGACGUGGUGAAAUUGGUAGACACGCCAGAUUUAGGUUCUGGUGCCUAGCGGUGUGAGAGUUCGAGUCUCUCCGUCCGCACCA